CGCUCAGGUCCCAAAGCAGGAAAAAGCUUCUCUGAGCCUCUGUAAAGCAGCUAGAACUUCCGUCACCACGUCCGCCGUAGGGUCUGAGGUGGGAGGCAGUGAUGGUCAAUUCCCUAUGAUAAUGGACAAAAGGUGGACACGUGUCAGGAGAACAAGCAGCAUCAAAGCGAUGUAUUGGAGUUCGAUCCAUUAUCGUCCCUCGACCUGGCUGCUCGAAGAAAGGAUUGCAAGUUGAUUGCGAGCAUGUUCCACUGUAUCAUGAGGCCUCCUGCAUGCUUCACUGGCUCUCCUUGUUCACUGUCCAUCUGCUACGGGGAAAUGGCAGAACUUAGGAGAAAGGAAAGGUUACUGUUGGGGAUUUUAAUAAUUAAUGGUUUAAAUGUUCACCGACUGUGAGAAUUUUGACCGAUCAGUCAAACAACAAAAAUAAACCCAGUAAAUCUGAAAGAAGCAGUUUGGGGCUUACCUUUCUUACUUCAGUCAGCAGGUAGCGCGUGAGAAAGAUUUGUUCCUGGCGGAUAUGGAGACUGGCUGCGUUUCCACGGCGAUGAUCGAGUAAUCGACUAGGCGGCUCUAGUUACUGACUCAUUAUUCCGUGGUACAAUCAAAAAGGGUAUAAAACAAAUUCAUACACAACCCUCUUAAGGGUUAAUAGCUGACGGUGUAAUUAGCAGAUGAGGUAUUUACAGCUGAGAACACUGUCACAUUUGGCAAUUUAUCCCUCUGGGUCUAACAUGUAAGAACCUGAUGUGAGCAUGUUCUUAUGUCAUUUCCUCGAUUAUUGGUUGUUGGUCGUUUUCUCACAGCUGUUCAUAAUCUGUUUCUGGAUUGAUGACAUAGUAUUUGCAGGACAUUGAG
Long non-coding RNA from Pungitius pungitius (ninespine stickleback), 858 nucleotides. RefSeq lists it as uncharacterized. The transcript has 4 exons. Lineage: Eukaryota; Metazoa; Chordata; Actinopteri; Perciformes; Gasterosteidae. The record is from RefSeq and is a predicted model, not a curated record.